RNAcentral lists this transfer RNA (56 nucleotides) under Morphostenophanes yunnanus. RNAcentral describes it as "tRNA-Ser". Lineage: Eukaryota; Metazoa; Arthropoda; Insecta; Coleoptera; Tenebrionidae. The record is from RNAcentral.
GAAAUACCCAAAAGUAAGCUUCUAACUUAUAAUAAAGCGUAAACGUUUGUAUUUCU